RNAcentral lists this ribosomal RNA (503 nucleotides) under uncultured bacterium. RNAcentral describes it as "bacterial SSU rRNA". It matches the Rfam family "Bacterial small subunit ribosomal RNA", at positions 16 to 507 of the family's 1533-position model. The record is from RNAcentral.
AUCAUGGCUCAGGAUGAACGCUAGCGGCAGGCUUAACACAUGCAAGUCGAGGGGCAGCAUGACACGGAGAUUCGUCGAAGUGUUGAUGGCGACCGGCGCAAGGGUGCGUAACGCGUGAGCAACUUGCCCGUUUCUGGGGGAUAACCGGUGGAAACGCCGACUAAUACCCCACAGUAUUGGAUUUAGGCAUCUUUAUCCAAUUAAAGAAUUUCGGAAACGGAUAGGCUCGCGUGACAUUAGCAAGAUGGCGGGUAACGGCCCACCAUGGCUACGAUGUCUAGGGGUUCUGAGAGGAAGGUCCCCCACACUGGAACUGAGACACGGUCCAGACUCCUACGGGAGGCAGCAGUGAGGAAUAUUGGUCAAUGGUCGGAAGACUGAACCAGCCAUGCCGCGUGAAGGUCACGGCCCUAUGGGUCUUAAACUUCUUUUGUAAGGGAGCAAUAAGGCGUACGUGUACGUCGAUGAGAGUACCUUACGAAUAAGCAUCGGCUAACUCCGUG